This 629-nucleotide ribosomal RNA is filed under the name uncultured delta proteobacterium. RNAcentral's name for it is "bacterial SSU rRNA". It matches the Rfam family "Bacterial small subunit ribosomal RNA", at positions 89 to 695 of the family's 1533-position model. The record is from RNAcentral. Lineage: Bacteria; Deltaproteobacteria.
AGUAGAGUGGCGCACGGGUGAGUAACGCGUAAAUAAUCUACCCCUGCAUCCGGGAUAACCCACCGAAAGGUGUGCUAAUACCGGAUACGUUCUUUUGAUCGCGAGAUUAAAAGAAGAAAGGUGGCCUCUGAUAUAAGCUACUGUGCGGGGAGGAGUUUGCGUACCAUUAGCUAGUUGGUAGGGUAAUGGCCUACCAAGGCAAUGAUGGUUAGCGGGUCUGAGAGGAUGAUCCGCCACACUGGAACUGGAACACGGACCAGACUCCUACGGGAGGCAGCAGUGAGGAAUAUUGCGCAAUGGGGGCAACCCUGACGCAGCGACGCCGCGUGGAUGAUGAAGGCCUUCGGGUCGUAAAAUCCUGUCAGAUGGAAAGAAAUGUUAUAUGGAUAAUACCUGUAUAGCUUGACGGUACCAUCAAAGGAAGCACCGGCUAACUCCGUGCCAGCAGCCGCGGUAAUACGGAGGGUGCAAGCGUUGUUCGGAAUUACUGGGCGUAAAGCGCGCGUAGGUGGUCUGUUAUGUCAGAUGUGAAAGUCCACGGCUCAACCGUGGAAGUGCAUUUGAAACUGGCAGACUUGAGUACUGGAGGGGGUAGUGGAAUUCCCGGUGUAGAGGUGAAAUUCGUAGAU